This 253-nucleotide ribosomal RNA is filed under the name uncultured prokaryote. RNAcentral describes it as "partial 16S ribosomal RNA". It matches the Rfam family "Bacterial small subunit ribosomal RNA", at positions 524 to 776 of the family's 1533-position model. The record is from RNAcentral.
UACAGAGGUCUCAAGCGUUGUUCGGAUUCAUUGGGCGUAAAGGGUGCGUAGGCGGCGCGGUAAGUCGGGUGUGAAAUCUCGGGGCUUAACUCGGAAAGGUCAACUGAUACUGUGCGACUAGAGUGCGGAAGGGGCAACUGGAAUUCUCGGUGUAGCGGUGAAAUGCGUAGAUAUCGAGAGGAACACCCGCGGCGAAGGCGGGUUGCUGGGCCGACACUGACGCUGAUGCGCGAAAGCCAGGGGAGCGAACGGG